Molecule: long non-coding RNA, 606 nt
Organism: Erigeron canadensis
Lineage: Eukaryota; Viridiplantae; Streptophyta; Magnoliopsida; Asterales; Asteraceae
Exons: 2
Source: RefSeq, a predicted model, not a curated record
UUUUUAUUUAUUUCUCAAAAACUGAUUUUCAUAGUUAUUCUUUCUCUAAUUCCUCUUUCAUUUUCGUUCUGUUCUUCUUUCAUUACGCUCACAUACAUCAAAAUUUUCAAGAAGUAUUUCAAGCCAUAUGUUUGACAAUAUAUCAGAUCACAGAAGUUUUUAUCGUUUUACAAACAACAUCGUUGACAUGCAGAGAUUUUGAGAUCCCCUUUAUGUAAUUCUCCGGGAUGAUGGCCGAAGAAAAGGAGAGACAGAUGGAAUGAGUUUCACGUAUAUGGUGCCAGGCUGACAGCGUUUGAAGUUUAAUAGGUGACUGUUGUUUUCCGGCGUUGAAAAAAGUGUGGUGAUUGUUCCUGCUGUUUUUUAGCUGCGCCAGUACAGUGGGUGAACGGAAGCCGGUGGUGGUUAACGGCUAUAGCUGUUCCUGGUGAAUGCUUCUGGUGAUGGUCCAUCGGCGUUUAUUUUUAGAUUUGGUUGGUUAUGAUUUUGUGUAAAUAUAUGUUGUAUAUGUGAAAAAGACAAAAGGGCUAUUUAGCUGUUUGGUUGUAUUGACGAUAUAGCCGCCAAGGGGAACACGUAACAAUAGUAAAUAAUACAUUAGAGAUA